GUGUCUUUUAUUUCCACAGUUUCUCAUCUCCGCACCAGUAGAGAGGGGCUCACAGGACCCUGCAGGGCUGGACCUUACCACAAGAGGGAGCUGUAUGGGCACAGAGAGCACUGACCCAUUGUGGAGCAGGGGUGGGGAAGGCGAAGAGCAAUUGGGCAGGCAAAGAACUAACCGGGAAGGAGGGAGGGAGAAAGAGAGAGAGGGAAGAAACAGAGAGAGAGAGAGAGAGAGAAGGAGAGAGAAAGAGAGAGGUUCUUUCAGGGUCCGCACUAGGCUCAGUGUGUCUGAAGCAGUGUGUGCUGGCUUGGGAGAUUGAGAGAUGGGGCUGGAAAGGUAAGUGGAAUAGAUAGUAAAGACCUUUAUCGACCAUUUACGAAGCUUGGAUUUUAAAUAGCAAAGAGUGGAGAACAAUAAGUAUUUACAGAUGCUUACUCUACGACCUCAAUCAGUUUUUAAAGCAACUCUAAGAGACAGGUGCUAUUAGUAUCCCCAUUUUACAGAUGAGAAACCUGUGCUAGAAACGAGAGAGUCAGGAUUGAAACCAGGUAGUCCAGCCUCAGAGACCAUGUAUUUGAGCAUAGCCCCUGGGCUAUGUGGCCUCAUUUAAGGGUUUCAGCAGAGAAAUGCCAUGGCCACAUAGAAAUGUUGGAAUGGCAGGAUCUCAGAAAGACCGACCGACUGACUGACGGGAUCCAGGGCUGAGGGAGGGAGAUGGUGGCCGUGGAGUUGGGUGAGCUGCUCUACCAGUCUGAGUACCUCAAGACAGCAUCUGGGAACAAAGUCAGUUACCAGUGUUGUGUGGAAUCUAGACCAUCGUUCUCAACAGAAAGACUGUUGUGAUGAACGACUGUGUUAUCCUAGGGGAUCUGGCAAACGUAAGAGUUGGACACCAUGGUGUUGUGAAAAGUCGUAGUGUCAUAAGGCCACCAUUCAAGACAUUCAGCAAAGGUGUUGCAUUCUUUCCUUUACAUAUUGGGGACCAUGUCUUUAUUGAGGACGAUUGUAUGGUCAACGCAGCUCAGACUGGUUCCUAUGUUGGCAAGAGCUGUGUGACUGGGUGCUGGUGUGUGUUGAACGACUGCUGCAAAAUUCUUGACAACGCAGUAUUAUCUCCAGAAACUGUGGUCCUACCAGUCACUGUCUUCUCGGGCUGCCCAGGAUGCUCACACAGGCAAUGCCCAGCUUUGCUGCUGCUAAUGCAUCUGGCCAGUUGUUGCAGUUGCUCAUAAUCCUGGGAAAAGGUGUUUGUGACUUUUCGGAGCACAGAUUCCUGUUGGCUGUUAAAACUUGAAGGGAGGGGUGAUUAGUGUUUCUCUCUCUUCUUCCUAAAAGGACCUUAGCUGUCCUAGGGUAGUUAGUCAAAGAUUUUUUACCAUUUUGACCUAGGGCCUUUGGCUUUCACUAAAAGUGGGGACCUCAGCAUCCCAGAUUAUACUUUUGCCAGGUGUUAGAUUUGAGUCUGUCAUGUGGAUGCAUUAGUUAGAUGGUUAGUCCUUGCCUCAAGGUACUUACCUUAUUUCAUUGAAGACACCGUAUCUGUGAACUCUUGCUUCCUGCCCUGGAACCAUUCAGCCUACCCUGUAUUUGCUAUAAACUCCACAAUUCACACAAAAAUGUCUGUAUUAGGAGCCCAGUCACAUAUAUAUAUAUGAAGGGCUCUUAAAAUCAGUUUGUGGGCACAGAGCCCCAGGAGUAAAUGAAGCUGCCAGGGCUGUUCUUACCGUCUCCUUCUGGCCAAUAGCACAACCAUUCCUGGUUCUGCUCUGACCUCUUAGCUUAGAACGCAGAUUUAGAAGUGAGGGGCUGAGAAAGCUGGCCUUGCUUAGUGCUCUGAUCUGUAAGUGAAUAGGGCAGAACAGUUCAGCCUUGAAGGUUAGAAUUUAGCAGGAGCCAUCCUGACUUAAUGUCCAUUUUUGGGGUUUGCAAAACAAAACAGCUGUAUGUAAUCAUUUCCGCUAGUUCCAUCUAGAACUCCUUUCUAGUUUGUCAUU
Sapajus apella (tufted capuchin) is the source of this 1991-nucleotide RNA transcript. It is a transcript of the gene named dynactin subunit 5 pseudogene, with no coding region annotated. The transcript has a single exon. The record is from RefSeq and is a predicted model, not a curated record. NCBI's taxonomy places the organism in Eukaryota, Metazoa, Chordata, Mammalia, Primates, Cebidae.